AAUAACUCAUUAGGGUUCAUGGGUUGAGUUGAGUUGAGUUGACCCAUGAAUUUUGACCCAUUUUGACACCCCUAAUGAUGAUAAUGAGAUUAUUAGUGGAUCUUCAUCUCCUUGAUCAAAUGGGGUAAAUAAAUCU
RNAcentral lists this small RNA (136 nucleotides) under Arabidopsis thaliana (thale cress). RNAcentral's name for it is "ATSL279490". Lineage: Eukaryota; Viridiplantae; Streptophyta; Magnoliopsida; Brassicales; Brassicaceae. The record is from RNAcentral.